RNAcentral lists this ribosomal RNA (344 nucleotides) under Nematoda environmental sample. RNAcentral's name for it is "bacterial SSU rRNA". It matches the Rfam family "Eukaryotic small subunit ribosomal RNA", at positions 88 to 433 of the family's 1831-position model. The record is from RNAcentral. Lineage: Eukaryota; Metazoa; Nematoda.
CGCGAAUGGCUCAUUACAACAGCCGUUGUUUCUUGGAUCUCUUCUCUACUUGGAUAACUGUGGUAAUUCUAGAGCUAAUACAUGCAAUCAAGCCCUGAUCGUGAGUGACGGGCGCAUUUAUUAGAACAAGACCAUCUGGCUUUGUGCCGUUUAAUGGUGACUCUGAAUAACUGAGCCGAUCGCGUGGGCUCGUCCCGGCGACGUAUCUUUCAAGUGUCUGCCUUAUCAGGUUUCGUUGGCGGUUUAUGUGACCGCCAAGCCUGUAACGGGUAACGGAGGAUCAGGGUCUGACUCCGGAGAGGGAGCCUGAGAAACGGCUACCACUUCCAAGGAAGGCAGCAGGC